Vicia villosa (hairy vetch) is the source of this 1895-nucleotide long non-coding RNA. RefSeq lists it as uncharacterized. NCBI's taxonomy places the organism in Eukaryota, Viridiplantae, Streptophyta, Magnoliopsida, Fabales, Fabaceae. The record is from RefSeq and is a predicted model, not a curated record. The transcript is spliced from 3 exons.
UCCACGUGUUUCUAUUCAACUACACCUCAAACUCCAACUAGCGCCUAUUUUUUCUAUUCAUCCCUCUAAUUUUCCUUCACCCACUUUCUCUAUCCUUCACAUUUGAAUUUGGCUUUCACAUUUUUGCGCUACACGUUCCCCUAAGAAACCCUAUCCUUUCCCCCAAAUCACAAUCCCUCAAUCUCAAUAUCUGAAAUCAAUUUCUGUAAGUAAUAUCUCUAUCUUCCCCAAAUUUCAUUGUGUCAAGUCUUUCAAUCUCUCUCUUUCUCUCUUCAACAAACAAUGGCAAACACUAGGCUUCGAUUUCACGUUUCAAGAUCUGUCACUUUUGGUUUUCACCAGAGACUCUAUUGUUCGGCUAUGGCAUCUCAAAGUCGAAGCGGCGGUGUUUCUCUACCUAACAGACCAAACAAUUCCCAAGACUCCAUCAUCACCUAGAUAUCGCGCUCCCCCAUCGCCUCCUGGAGCAAACAAGCCUACACUGACACCUCAAUCAUCCCUAACAAACUCCUCAAAAGCACCGAUCACUUGGAUCACUAGAACCACCUUCCUUGUGCUCUUCGUUCCUUUUAUCAACGAAAAGAAUUGUGAGCAGCAGCUCAACGAUCUUGAAGUCCAGCAGGCCAGUAUCCCUGGUACUCCUCCUAAAUGAUUGUCAUCACGUCUAUGAAAAUUAGGUCUUGGUAUGCAGAGAUAUCGAUUGUUUAUUGAUUAAGAAUUUUGAUCUCUUUUUAGGGUUUCUAAUUGCAAUAAUUGUAUGAUUUGCACGUUUUUAGGAAUUUCACAGUAAUUACAAGUUUUGUGUAUUCUUACGCAGUGAUACUAUUAUCUUAGUUUCAGUGUGGAAUUCUUGGUUACUUGAUUUGAUAAAUAAAAUAUGCAUAGGAAUGAAAUUCUAUUAUUCUAGAGACACCAUUUCAAGAUAGUUUGCUGAAGCAUGUUGCUAAAGAGAGACACAAUUUAAUGAGCAUAUUUAUAAUUUAUAUUUAGUUGGCCUUGUUUUAGAAGCUAUAUAUUUGAAUGUUGCUUAAGAAGUUAUGAGAGUUGGUUGCAUCAUAGGUGAUAGAAUUAGUGGGUUUGUCAUGGAGUUUUUGAGUCUUGGUAAGUUAAAUCUUAUUUUACAGGUGAUAGAAGAUGCAUUCUAAGUUUUAUUAUAUGAAACAUAAGCAUCUCCUGCGAAUUGUUAGUUAAAUGGCUUUACAAGAGAUUCUUGUUCGUACAGUAGGGGAAGAUGUCAUUAUGAAUUCCAGUAAUGUUGUUGAUUUUGUUGAUCAUGGAACUAAGGUAAUUAUAGAAACUUUUAAAUUGAAGAUACUCCUCACAUUCUAUUAUAGGUAUUAUUUUGAAGACUAAUAUGACUAGACAUUAUUUGGCUUAUGAAUCGUGUCACGUCACAUUCAUCAAUUAUGUUGUAGGUUUCAGUGGUGCUGGAGAAUUGUCAAAAAUAUGAUUGAGAUCUCUUGGUUGGAGCAGAUGGGAUUUGGUCCUAGGUCCUAUAAAAUUCUCUCUUUAAUUAUGAGUUUUUGGUUUAGUAUUGUGUUAAUUGUAUUAUUUUGUGAAUAGGUGAGGGCAAAGUUAUUCGGGGCAACAGAAGUUACAUACUCUGGCUACACUUGUUAUACUGGUAUAGCAUAUUUCAUGCCUCUUGACAUUGAAUCUGUUGGGUACCGAGUCUUCUUAGGACACAAACAAUAUAUUGUAUCAUCCGAUGUCGGUGCUGGAAAGAUGCAAUGAUACGCAUGGCGGUCAUCGAUGGUCUUCAAGCAACCAAAUUGAUUUGAUAUACAAGAAGGAACUCUUCCAAGAGAAACUCUAAUGCAGCCCUUAGAUACUAUUGUAUUUAGAUGGAUAAAAAUGCAAUGGUUAAUCUCAUGUAACUUUUAUAUAUAUAUAUA